UAUUUCAGUAGUGUACAAAAUAAUCACGUUUACCGACAUAUGGUUUUUGUAGUUAUUGAUAGUAGUGUACAUGCAUCGGAGAAGCAUGUAUACAGACAUCGACUACGUCCAACAAGUCCUACAGUUAUUGGUAGUACAGGCAUUGGAAUCAGGAUUCUAAUCCUUAUGGUCUUCAGUUUCAGGUUAUUCUAGGCCGGAAGUGAACUCCAGUUAGGUUGUUCUCUGCUUUUGCAAUGGAAAAUGGUAGUAUUAUCUUGAAUAUAUUAUCGGGUAUAUAUCAAUAUAUGUGUCUCUUGAAAUUUAGAACUACAUAUUGAUUUCAAUUUUGUGCGUAGAUCCUAAGCACAGAAUACACACUUGAGCAUGCACACAUAAACAAGUUAAGUCGAGAAGCAUGACAAUAUUUUGUUUGAUAUGACUACCAAAAAGAACUUAAUGAUUUUCCAAAAGUUAUAUAAGAACUUGCACAAGAGCUGUGGGACUUGCUAUGUGAUAAUCUUGACUUAAAAAAGCUUUCUAUAUCUAGCGCACGCAGAUUUAGGCAGGAUCGUCCGGCAAUUCCAAGUUUACCAUGUUAGUGGCCUCUAGCUUCUCAAAAUGGCGAACGGAUCGAUGUUCUGCUUAUGCUCCACUUCGUUGUAUUAACUUAGGUGACCAACUCACCACCAUCUCCACUUUGCUACAAUUUUAUACGAUGCACGUAGGUACGUUCAAGAUCAAAAGGCUCGAAAUUGAUAUCAAGUCGAAGGAUGAGAUCUAUUG
Molecule: long non-coding RNA, 762 nt
Filed under: Daucus carota (carrot)
Lineage: Eukaryota; Viridiplantae; Streptophyta; Magnoliopsida; Apiales; Apiaceae
Description: long non-coding RNA (DCAR_LNC006940)
Source: RNAcentral